GAGCAUAGCUCUUGUUGGGUACGGGUGGUGCAAGGUUGGGCGGGCGCACAAUACGGUAAUAUGAUGAUUCCGCGAGUUGGCCAUGAAGUGUUGGUGAAAUUCCUAAAUGGCGAUCC
This 116-nucleotide ribosomal RNA is filed under the name Haemophilus parainfluenzae ATCC 33392. RNAcentral describes it as "partial 16S ribosomal RNA". Lineage: Bacteria; Pseudomonadati; Pseudomonadota; Gammaproteobacteria; Pasteurellales; Pasteurellaceae. The record is from RNAcentral.